CGGCUAACGACAACUUACAUUUCAAUUUGCAGAGCACAGUUGAGAGUCUGCAACCAUUUCCUGGUGGCCAUCAAAUCCUUCCUGAAUCUGGAAAAUCUGGGCUGUUUUGAGGUGACAUUGACCCUGCACAUCAGCUUGGCUGAAGAAGCCAGUCAGAGCCAAGAGUAGACACCUGUGUUCUGCAGUCUGGCAGUUCCACAUCAGGAAGGACUCGGGGACAAAUCUGAACCGUGUUCCCAGCAGCCUGCGAGGGUGGCACUGUGGGAGUUCUGUCUCAGCUAAAUCAAGACUCAGUGAUGCUACUCUUCCGCGCCACAGAGGUAGCUGCCAGCUCUGCACGGGGGGUCAGUCAGUCAUCGCCUCCAGAGAGCACACAGACCCCCACACUACUAGGGUGAGAGAGGCAGUGGACGCCGAGACACAGGUAGGAAGCUGUGGAACGUCCAGGCAGUUGCAAGCAUGUCUGCAUAGAG
Molecule: long non-coding RNA, 473 nt
Filed under: Rattus norvegicus (Norway rat)
Lineage: Eukaryota; Metazoa; Chordata; Mammalia; Rodentia; Muridae
Description: long non-coding RNA NONRATT031551
Source: RNAcentral